This 253-nucleotide ribosomal RNA is filed under the name uncultured bacterium. RNAcentral's name for it is "partial 16S ribosomal RNA". It matches the Rfam family "Bacterial small subunit ribosomal RNA", at positions 524 to 776 of the family's 1533-position model. The record is from RNAcentral.
UACGAAGGGAGCUAGCGUUGUUCGGAAUCACUGGGCGUAAAGCGCACGUAGGCGGGUUUGUCAGUCAGGGGUGAAAUCCCGGAGCUCAACUCCGGAACUGCCCUUGAUACAGCAAGCCUUGAGGCCGGAAGAGGUAGGUGGAAUUCCUAGUGUAGAGGUGAAAUUCGUAGAUAUUAGGAAGAACACCAGUGGCGAAGGCGGCCUACUGGUCCGGCACUGACGCUGAGGUGCGAAAGCGUGGGGAGCAAACAGG